AUUGCCUGAUUGACUGUUGGAUAUCACCUCUGCCUCAUAUUAGUAUAUGUCCCUGGGCAAAUUCCUCUACUUCAUAGUGCUCCUAAGCAAUGCUUCUGAAAUAUAAGUUGAAGAACAAUUUCUAAUCAGCACUGGAAGAAAGAACUUUCUUGCUAGGUAGCCCUAUACAUUAAUAAAACCACAUAUCUGAUAUCUGAUGGUGACAAUAAUGAUAAUGAAUACAGGAUGUUAGUACCUAGAGUCUGAAGGGAAAUUAAGGGGAAAAAAUUCUUAUCAAAUAUAUGCUAUUAUAUAAAAUAUUCUAAAAACAGAAAGCUUUUUCAUAAAGGAGUGAGCCAUCUAUGCAUUUAAAGUUUUUAAGCAGCAGCUGAAUGAUUGCUGGUCAUAGGUUAUAUAGAGAUCUUUGCACUGGGUGGGAGGAUUGGACUAGAUGUACUUUGAGGUUCCUUCGAUUCAGAUUCUAUAAUUAUAACCUACUCAAGUAAUUGCUAAAAGAAAUCCAAAAUACUUCACUCUAUUACUAAAUGUGUGAAGACUUUUAGAUAAAUUAUUUCAUUUUAUUUCUAGGCAAAUAUAAUUGCUUUUUGAAGUUAAUUUUCUUUUAGGGGACUAAAACUUUUUGUUUAUAUCUCCCUUUAUAUAUAACAAUGCUCACUGUUGGAAACCCUAGGACCAUCAUGGCAAUCCUAUGACACAUGUGCCAGAAAGGGCAUGCAGAGACCUCUUUGUGGGCUUACCUGCCAUCAUCCACUAGAGUUCAUUACUAGAAAAGCAGAGGGACAAGGGCUGAGCUGCUUCUUUCCUCCUCUCCACUGGGCCUGAAGUUUGGAUAUCAUGAUUCCCUCUCCCAACAUAAAUGCUUAUUGGAUUAUUUAUGAGUAUGCUCAUGCGAAUGGAGUGGUGAAUGGAAUUGAAGAUGGAUUAAUUAUUAAAGGUCAUCAUCAUUUUGAUAUGCAUUCUAAUCCAAACAUUGCAAAAUACUACUAUUCUGAGACAGGUAAAAGGUAUGUCUCUGUCACAAUGUAAAGAAGUAU
RNAcentral lists this long non-coding RNA (1034 nucleotides) under Monodelphis domestica (gray short-tailed opossum). RNAcentral's name for it is "lncRNA (ENSMODG00000036497.1)". The record is from RNAcentral. Lineage: Eukaryota; Metazoa; Chordata; Mammalia; Didelphimorphia; Didelphidae.